RNAcentral lists this small RNA (1235 nucleotides) under Pan troglodytes (chimpanzee). RNAcentral's name for it is "processed transcript". The record is from RNAcentral. Lineage: Eukaryota; Metazoa; Chordata; Mammalia; Primates; Hominidae.
ACUCUACAAUUCUUUGGCAGUUAGGGAAGGCGUUCUAAUGUUGGAAGAAGUGUUUUAACUUUAAAUUGAAGAUGAGAAUUAGCAAGUGGAUUAAGAAAGAAAGGCCAUACCAUGCAGAGGGACUGGACCCUGAAAAAUCAAGGAGGACUGACAGAACUCCAUAAAUCAAAGAUAUGUUAAUAAUUUAGGACAUAUGGAUAUUGUUCAAAACAUUUUAUGAGCAAUGAUAUUCAAAGAGAAAAAAAAAAUACUCCGUUUCCUCACUGAGGACCCAGGAGGCAUUUACCCAAGUUACUUUUGUCGUGGUGUGAAGCUGAAGUGAGCGCAAAUAACAUCCCAUGUGGAAGAACUUCCACAAGAAGAAAUCCAAAGGUUCACUAGGCACAAUCAAUUUUCCAAUCAAUUAAACUUGAGAUGUCUGAGUCCUUAAAAAAGACAAGAUAAAACCAAAAUGCAUCACCAACACACAACCAAUUGAUGUGCUGGCAUCUUAGCUUGGCCCUGCAGAGGCAGAGAGAAAAGAAGAGGAGCUGUUGCGAUUUCCACAUCUAACAGCUUCUGGCUAUUUCGCAACUGCUGGGUUUGAGUCCUACUGUUGCCGUGGCUGAAAAGAGAAGUAAAAUCCAACUUGUGAGACCAUGCACAAGGAAUUAGGCUUUGGCUGCAGCGGUGCUGAAGCCCAUGCUAUGACAGAAGAAGCAGGCCUUUGAAGCUAUCCUCGGGUUAAGAAGUGGUGCCCUAAAGAGGCAAGCAUCCCUUUCUCCGUUCUGCUUUAAGACCCCACAUCUGAAGGAGACAGACUUGAGGCAUUCACAAGCAUCCAAGGAUACUGGCUCACUGCUGGCUUCCUGUACUUUCUUGAGAAAAGUGUUUUCUUUUUACUGACUCUCACUGCUUCCUUUUGGCCUGGUACCACUGAUGGAACCUGGCAGAUAAUGGGAUUUGAGGAGUUAAGUAUCUGUUGACACUACAGAUACUCUUAAAUUAGUUAAUCAGACUCAAAUGGGUCAGUGCUUUCCCUUGAUCUUUUGUUGAAGCCUUUUCCAGAACGUUGCCUCCAAAGUGCAUCCUCCCUUUGGUCUGGAAGUUCUGUGGCUACCCUGUACCACUGGGGUCAACGUUUUCCAGUUGGAAGAGGACUACAGGGAGAGAGGGCGGGGUUAUUGGAAGAAGAAGAAGAAAAAAAGAACUAGAUAAAGGAGGGCACAUCCCUCUCACUCCCGCCUUUCUCCUUA